CGGAGGGGCGGACGACGCGGCCCGCGCGCUUCCUUUGUGCGCCCGAGCCCCGCCCCGCGUCCUCCGGAAGGCUCGAAGGCGUCCGGCUCGGGGGGCGCCCCCGGGGACCCGUGGCCUGUGACCCCCGCCCCGGUGGCUCACUGUGGGGUCUCGGAGGCGAGUCUUAAUGAUUGAGGGUUAGUGCGUGUCAGGGCGAAGUGCACGCACCCUCUCCCUUAUUGUCCACAAUAACCCUCCAAGUGAUCAUUAUCCUCCCCACUGGGAGCGAGGAUCAGAGGUUGGAGACCAAGGAGACCUAGAGAGCCGGCACCUCCUAUCAGAGAAACAGCCCAGCAGCAUAACAACCCAGCUUCCGGUUGGCACAAUCCACUACCCCAAGAGCUAGGCACUGCUGGAUUGAAAAGGCCCAAUAAAGGUUUCUAGCUGUCAUCAUAGCCCCACAUGGAAUGCAGGUUGCCAACAGGAAUAGAGAAGGAGCAGAAAGAAGAGCUAGCAGGAAGCGUGAGGAGAAUGAAGCUCGCCCGGGGCCGGCCCCCAUGGAGAUGGAGUGCAGAAGGCCCGCAAGACGCGGUCUUGUGAGGACAAUGAGUGAUGAAUUGAGAAACUUGGGGAUCAGUGUGAAUUUAAGGGGGGAGUGUGCUAGUCUUGAGGGGAGGGAGGAGCCCCCACAGACACCGCCAGCAGGCAUUUGGGGAUUACAAACUGUACAGUGGCUGCAGCCUAAGCCCUGUCUCCUAAUCCCUCAUUGGACAGCUCAGAGUUUAACAACCAAAUAAAGCAAACCAAAAACAAAACUGUUCAUCGGGCACAAAGGUAACUCUUGGUAAGACACCUGGGAGGUACUGAGGGGCCCUGUGGGGGCCACCAGGCUCCAGCCACUAGAAUAACCAGUAGAUGAGAUGCUGGCCAGAGACCUUCUAGAGGCUGCCCUCUGAGGGAGAGCUGGAGACCAGCCAGGUCUGGAAAGCUAAGAGCAUCAGUGGAUGACUGCUCCACCACCUGCUGCUAUGAGACCGGAGACAACCGCUGCUUCCUUUCAGGGCUUCAGUGCAGCAGAGAUCUAGUCUAGGAGGUCAUAUAUGUCUUCCAGCUCUAAAUCUUAGUGGAAAUCAUUGGAAAAAUUGUUUUAAAACUCAGGAUGUCUUGUAGUUGGGAAGCCCAGCAAGGAGAUUGGGGGGAGGGUUGUUUACUGUGUAAAUAUGAGAAUCAGAGUUUGGAUCCCUGGUGCUUACAUAAUGCCAGGGGCGGGGUGGGUGUAGCAGCCCACCUAUAAUCCCAGCACUUGGGAGGUGGAAACAGGGGGUUCCUGGAGCAGGCUGGCUAGAGAAUUAGUCAAACUUGUGAACUUGGGGUUCACAAGAGAGAUUUUUGUUUCAAUAUAUAAAGUGAAGAGUGAUUGAGAGAGACACCUGAUAGCAACCUCUGGCCUGCACACAUGCACACACAUAUUCAUGCAUGCACGCACGUGCACACCCAUGAACAUUCACAUGCACAAAGUAUUUCAGGAUUUAUGAGGUGAAAAAACAAGGUUGAAGAGGAAAAAAAAUGCUAAUUCUAAUGCUAAAAGAUAUAAAGGGUACAGUUAGGAGGCAAAGAACACACUUAGCUCCUGGCCACGAGGGGUGUGGUUUUCAUCUUGCCAUGGGCUCCCACCAGGACAUGUGGCCUUGCCACAGGCCUGAAGCAGCAAGGCCAAGCAACAAUGGAGGAGAAGCCACAAAACUGUGAGCUGAGACGCAGUCUCUCUCAGUCAGCUGAUGACGACAGCAAUGUGUUAUAGAGCUAACACACCAAGAGAUCUGGGACGGGGACUGCUGGCCUCCUGCCCAGCCUGUGAGUCUCCUCCUACUCUUGCUCCAAACUGUGGCACUUCUGUGCAGCUACAAUUGUUACAGCCAAAUGAUACCAUAUCUUGCCCAAGCCAGGGGGAGCUCCUGAGGGUGAGUGAGCCCAUAGAUCAAAGCAGGAAAGGCGUUUUGGGGAAGUGUGUGUCAUUAAUCUUUGGAGGUUAAUAAAAAGCAAAGACCUCGGUUUAACUGCAGCAUUAUCCUGGGUCAGAAAUCCUUUUGUUCAGCAUAUUGCAGUAGCUUUCUACUUAGUCUUCCUGAUUCUGGUUUCUUCCUGCUGUAAUCCAUCUUACGGACAGAGUUCUAAUGAAUCGCCCCAGUGCACAGAUACAACCCCUGACCAAGAGGCAGCAAGGGCUCCCUUUUGUCCGGUUGUCCACAGCCCUGGGACUCAGUAUCUCUUUGUAGCAUAAAGUAAUGUUUUAUUUUUAAUGAUUUAUCUGACCAAGCAAGCUUUGCUGUUUCCUUUACAGCACCGCUGCCAUUUGUUCCAGGCCACAGCCCGAAUGCUGGCCAGCUCUGCCACAUAGCAGCUGUGUGGCACUGGUUAACGCUGGAUCUCUGUGCCACCAUCUUUAAAAUGGGGUUGAGCAUGUUGCCACGUCGUAGUUAUUUCAGUAAAGCACUACUCUCCUUGCUGGGCAGAGUUUAUGCAACCCGCUCGUUUCCUCUGAAACUACUUGAAUGCAGUAGCCGCUCAGUCAGUAAUGCUCAUUGACUGGACGAUAACGAGGUAGGGCUCCAUUUGUGGGAUCUGUUGCUCCCACAAAGCUGCUUCUCUCUGGGCCCACCCUGGAACCCCUGUCCCAUCCUUGCCCUUCACCUUCUUGGAGGAGCUUCAGUGACCUUAACUGACUUCCGUGUGCCAUCGCAUGGCACGCUGCCGUGUGCCUUUGGGGCCCCAGCCUCAAUGCUUCCACUGGCUGCAAUGUGCUCCUUCGGGUCCGGUGACCUCUGGUUUCAGGGUUUUUGGAUCAGGCUUUGUUCCCAUUUUCUCCAUUUGCCAGAACUCAAGUUACUGAUGUUUUCUUAGAUGCGUCCUCUGCUAUAUCCAUUGUGAGGUAACUUAGCCUUGCUUAACUAUGCAUGCCAUUGAUCUUUAGACAUUGAUCACCUUCUUCCACAUUAGCAUCUUCUAAUUAGGAUGCACAGUGAAGCAAUGUCAUUCAACUGACAGCCUGUUCCUUUCUAAAAGUCAAUGAAGGUGCAGAUUUCAACCACAGGGGUCUUUGGUAAAAUUGACUUUUGGGGAAUGCUUUUCUAUACAUCCCCCCACCCCCUUUGGCUGGAGCUCUUUGGCAGACAUCAGGUAAGACCCCCCAAAUGCCCCGUGUACAAGUCUCCUUGCUAAACAGCUUGGAGCCUUAGAGGGAAACCUGGUAUUUUUGUCUUACCCUGCCCUUGGCAGAAGCUGCACUGCAGGGCGGCUCCAGCACGAGUUUUAGAGUCAGAUCCAGGAUAGAAGUUUGGCUCUGCUAAAAAAAUAGCUAUGCAACCUUAGAUAAAUCACCUAACCUUCCUGAAUCUUCAUUUCCUGUUCUGUUAAUGUUGACAUAUAUCAUAUAGGGUAGGUAUUAAUAUCAAAUAGAGUAUUAUAUUUAAACCACACACACACACACCACCACCAUUUUUGCUCAAUGCUUGGUACACAGAAGGUACAAGUAAAUAGUAGCUGUUCUUUUUGUAUUUGUUUUUGUUUGUUUGUUUGUUCUUUUGUCUUUCUAGACAAAGUUUCUCUGUGUAGCCCUGGCUUUCCCAGAACUUACUCUGUAGAACAGGCUGGUCUUGAACUCACAGAGAUCCGCCUGCCUCUGCCUCCCAAGUGCUGGGAUUAAAGGCGUGCAUUAUCAUGUCUGGCUAACAGUAGCUGUUCUUAUAUACUCUAUUGCUUUGAAUGUCUCACGUGACUUUUACAACUCGACUUUCACCUUUUCCUAACAGUAAGCCUGCCGGCAGUGUGCUCAUCUUACAAGCAAGAACUGAGAGGGGUUCCCAGUGACAUCUCCCAUCCAGAAGGCUGGGAGUUUUGAGGCUGACAGAUGACAUAUGGAGUCUUGCACAUAAAGGUAAGGCUGAGCAAACAACACAUCAGCAAGCAUGCAUGAACACAGCAGGCCCCUGAGUGUCACCAUGGCUGCUGAGAACUGUGAAAGUGACCCUGGAGGGACAAUGAAAAGGGUAGGUAGCCAAAGAUGCAUGACUGACAGACAGACAGACAGAUAGACAGACUGACUGAGUCUCAGGUCAAGCCAGGCACAGAGGGGUUUGGGUAUGAGAAGAGAGCUGAGUGUGUUUGCUCGGCUGUGGCAGUCAGUCAGUGUAAGGAAAGAUCAAUUGUAAGCAUGGCAGUUGAUAUGUGGCCAGUGUGGCAGGGCCUCAAAGGUCCUUAUAGUCAGAGUUAGGCCACAGCCAUCAUCAGCAUGUCACAUAGUAGGUCCUCACGUGGUCAGGCAGGAAAGAGAAGACAAAGUGAAGGCAUCUGGAGAUCAAAAAAGGAGCCAACAGGAUAUCUACAACAGCACUGAGCUAAGGCUGUGGCGCCCCGCAGACCGGCAUUCUCUCAGCUGCCUCUGGGCAAGACGGAAAGCCAGUCCAGAGGAGGAGGGUGCCAGGCCUGGUAGUUGCAGAGGGAAAGAUGCGUGAGUCACUCAGGACUGGGGUGUCCCCGGUGCUGUCUGAGGCAGCCCUCCUGUUUGCUCCAUGCUACAAAGUCCCAUCUUCAAAGUACAGCUUGGAUUUCCACAACCUUUCAUAGAAUUUCAGCUCUUGCCCAGCUCUGUACUCCCAUGGUGUGGCGUAGUAGCAGGCACAAAAUAUGUGUCAAAUGAGUAUUUCUUGAACUGAACGGAACAGUUGAAGACGUGGAGAAAAUGAUUGGGAAUGGCGGUUGAUUUGGAAUGCCGGUUCACCGGAUGCAUCUUCCUUUGUGAGGUGGGAGGAAAUGCCUCCGUGAGAUCCAACUGUAAGGUAUUUUCUCAAUUAGUGAUCAAGGGGGAAAGGCCCCUUGUGGG
Long non-coding RNA from Mus musculus (house mouse), 4858 nucleotides. RefSeq annotates it as predicted gene, 33712. The record is from RefSeq and is a predicted model, not a curated record. Lineage: Eukaryota; Metazoa; Chordata; Mammalia; Rodentia; Muridae. The transcript has 3 exons.